GACGAACGCUGGCGGCGUGCUUAACACAUGCAAGUCGAACGGUGAACUCCGCUUGCGGGGGGAUCAGUGGCGCACGGGUGAGUAACACGUGGGCAACCUGCCCUCAGCUCUGGGAUAACUCCAAGAAAUUGGGGCUAAUACCGGAUAUGACCGCUGCCCGCAUGGUCUGGUGGUGGAAAGAUUUAUCGGCUGGGGAUGGGCCCGCGGCCUAUCAGCUUGUUGGUGGGGUAGUGGCCUACCAAGGCGACGACGGGUAGCCGGCCUGAGAGGGUGACCGGCCACACUGGGACUGAGACACGGCCCAGACUCCUACGGGAGGCAGCAGUGGGGAAUAUUGCGCAAUGGGCGAAAGCCUGACGCAGCGACGCCGCGUGGGGGAUGACGGCCUUCGGGUUGUAAACCUCUUUCAGCAGGGACGAAGCGAAAGUGACGGUACCUGCAGAAGAAGCACCGGCCAACUACGUG
Molecule: ribosomal RNA, 465 nt
Filed under: uncultured bacterium
Lineage: Bacteria
Description: partial 16S ribosomal RNA
Rfam family: Bacterial small subunit ribosomal RNA
Source: RNAcentral